UUUCCGUAGGUGAACCUGCGGAAGGAUCAUUAUUGUAUAACCGAGGUGCGAGGGCUGUUGCCGACCCGAAAGGUCGUGCACGCCCGAGUGCCCUCACACACAUCCAUCUCACCCCUAUGUGCACCACCGCGUGGGUCCCCCUUUGGCUUGUUCGGAGGGGGGCUUACGUUUUCACACAAACUUUGUAUGCAGUGUAGAAUGUAUUUUUUGUUUUUGCGAUCACGCAAUCAAUACAACUUUCAACAACGGAUCUCUUGGCUCUC
Molecule: unclassified non-coding RNA, 263 nt
Filed under: plant metagenome
Description: partial contains small subunit ribosomal RNA, internal transcribed spacer 1, and 5.8S ribosomal RNA
Source: RNAcentral